GUAGGGUGCAAGCGUUAAUCGGAAUUACUGGGCGUAAAGCGUGCGCAGGCGGUUAUGCAAGACAGAGGUGAAAUCCCCGGGCUCAACCUGGGAACUGCCUUUGUGACUGCAUGGCUAGAGUACGGUAGAGGGGGAUGGAAUUCCGCGUGUAGCAGUGAAAUGCGUAGAUAUGCGGAGGAACACCGAUGGCGAAGGCAAUCCCCUGGACCUGUACUGACGCUCAUGCACGAAAGCGUGGGGAGCAAACAGGAUUAGAUACCCUGGUAGUCCACGCCCCUAAACGAUGUCAACUGGUUGUUGGGAGGGUUUCUUCUCAGUAACGUAGCUAACGCGUGAAGUUGACCGCCUGGGAGUACGGCCGCAAGGUUG
RNAcentral lists this ribosomal RNA (369 nucleotides) under uncultured organism. RNAcentral describes it as "partial 16S ribosomal RNA". It matches the Rfam family "Bacterial small subunit ribosomal RNA", at positions 527 to 896 of the family's 1533-position model. The record is from RNAcentral.